GCUGGCGGCGUGCCUAAUACAUGCAAGUCGAGCGGUAAGGCUCCUACAGGUUAUUUGAUCACGAUAGCUUCGGUUAUCAGAGCAACCCAUUGCAACCCUGGCUAGGGAAGGGAUGGUGCGGGGAGAUCGAGUAGCGUGUUGGAGUACACGAGCGGCGGACGGCUGAGUAACACGUAGGAACGUACCCCAAACUGAGGGAUAAGCACCAGAAAUGGUGUCUAAUACCGCAUGUGCUCUUCGGAGUAAAGCUUCGGCGGUUUGGGAACGGCCUGCGCAUGAUUAGCUAGUUGGUGAGGUAAUGGCUCACCAAGGCUACGAUCAUUAGCUGGUCUGAGAGGAUGAUCAGCCAGACUGGGACUGAGAACGGCCCAGACUCCUACGGGAGGCAGCAGUAGGGAAUUUUCCACAAUGGGCGAAAGCCUGAUGGAGCAACGCCGCGUGCAGGAUGAAGGUCUUCGGAUUGUAAACUGCUUUUAUCUGUGACGAAUAUGACGGUAGCAGAUGAAUAAGGAUCGGCUAACUCCGUGCCAGCAGCCGCGGUCAUACGGGGGAUCCAAGCGUUAUCCGGAAUUACUGGGCGUAAAGAGUUGCGUAGGUGGCAUGGAAAGCGAGCAGUGAAAGCACCCCGCUCAACGGGGUAAACAUUGCUUGAACUACCAAGCUAGAGGAUGAGAGAGGUAGAUGGAAUUCCUAGUGUAGGGGUAAUAUCCGUUGAUAUUAGGAGGAACACCGAUGGCGUAAGCAGUCUACUGGCUCAU
RNAcentral lists this ribosomal RNA (758 nucleotides) under uncultured bacterium. Its description in RNAcentral is "bacterial SSU rRNA". It matches the Rfam family "Bacterial small subunit ribosomal RNA", at positions 35 to 737 of the family's 1533-position model. The record is from RNAcentral.